RNAcentral lists this ribosomal RNA (392 nucleotides) under uncultured bacterium. Its description in RNAcentral is "bacterial SSU rRNA". It matches the Rfam family "Bacterial small subunit ribosomal RNA", at positions 30 to 424 of the family's 1533-position model. The record is from RNAcentral.
AUUGAACGCUGGCGGAAUGCUUUACACAUGCAAGUCGAACGGCAGCACGGGGCAACCUGGUGGCGAGUGGCGAACGGGUGAGUAAUACAUCGGAACGUGCCCAAUCGUGGGGGAUAACGUAGCGAAAGUUACGCUAAUACCGCAUACGAUCUACGGAUGAAAGCGGGGGAUCGCAAGACCUCGCGCGAAUGGAGCGGCCGAUGUCAGAUUAGGUAGUUGGUGGGGUAAAGGCUCACCAAGCCAACGAUCUGUAGCUGGUCUGAGAGGACGACCAGCCACACUGGAACUGAGACACGGUCCAGACUCCUACGGGAGGCAGCAGUGGGGAAUCUUGGACAAUGGGCGCAAGCCUGAUCCAGCCAUUCCGCGUGCAGGAUGAAGGCCUUCGGGUU